CAAGGAAUCUUCCGCAAUGGGCGAAAGCCUGACGGAGCAACGCCGCGUGUGGGAUGACGCCUUUCGGGGUGUAAACCACUUUUCUCAGGGAAGAAGCACUGACGGUACCUGAGGAAGAAGGACCGGCUAACUACGUGACAGCAGCCGCGGUAAUACAUAGGGUCCGAGCGUUGUCCGGAGUUACUGGGCGUAAAGCGCGCGCAGGCGGCGGUGUAAGCAUGGCGUGAAAGCCCCAGGCUUAACCUGGGAGGGUCGUCGUGGACUGCACCGCUUGAGGGCGGUAGGGGCUGGUGGAAUGCCUGGUGUAGUGGUGAAAUGCGUAGAGAUCAGGCGGAACACCCGUGGCGAAGGCGGCCAGCUGGGCCGUCCCUGACGCUGAGGCGCGAAGGCGUGGGGAGCGAACGGG
This 406-nucleotide ribosomal RNA is filed under the name uncultured prokaryote. Its description in RNAcentral is "bacterial SSU rRNA". It matches the Rfam family "Bacterial small subunit ribosomal RNA", at positions 355 to 776 of the family's 1533-position model. The record is from RNAcentral. RNAcentral also lists the same sequence under 1 other name.